CAGAGUUACUCUUAUGCAGAUCUGAAAACUGAGGCACAGAGAGAAUAAGCAACUUGUCCAACCUCAGGGAAUGACUGUUGCAGAGGUCAAGUUUGAAUGGUGGAAGGAAGCACAUGGUUCCAUUUCAAGGAGGAGAAGCUCUUUUCCCACUUCGGAAUUUUGAGUCCAUUUAAGGAAUCAGUGCAUACUGUAACUGCAGAAAGAAUUGAGGAAGCCAUGGGGAGGCAGGCGCCACUAAGGUGCUACACGAUUCCUGAAAAAAUCCACGAGGGUUUACAAAUUUGGCCCCAUCGAAGGUUGCCUGAAAACAGGACUAUAUUAAAGCACUAGCUAAUCCCUGCUUUGCAACUGUAAUGGCUACCUUUGCAGUGUUCCAUCCUGGCUCCACUAGGGAAAAAAAAAAGAAGAAGAAGGAGAAGGAGAAGGAGAAGUUGAAGUUGAAGUUGUUAACUGCUUACUUUGUACCGGACACUUUUUUCUUACACGAUGAGCAUUGGGUUCCUGUUCCCUUUUGCCCAAUAACCAUCCUAAAGGAAACAGCAGGGACAGCUGACGAAGGACAGGCAAAUAAAAUCAAAACAAAAGGGUCCAAAAAAUGGAGGGAAAAAGGGGGGAAAAAAGGAACACAAAUAUUGUGUUUUCAGAACAUUGGGGGCAGCUUCGCCAAUGUAUUUCUUGCCAUUGUUGCAUGUUUUACUUGGACAUCCUGUCACUUCCUCCAUGCCCUUUGUGACAGAAGUUUUUGUGAGGAAGGUUAGAAUCACUGAAGAAGUUGUUUAUGUGGCAUGUUUCUUGGGCAAGAGAUUCAUCGCGUGGUCCUCUGAAAAGUGUUAAAUUGCAGCUGACAUUUAAGCCUACUCAGAUUAGAAGGUGUCAAAUGUACUUGAAGUAAAGAGAAAGAAGCAAUCUCUGGAGGGAAGGUGUAUCACAGAGAUCCACCACGACGUACCCUCUGGAGGUUUAUUCUCAAAGUUAACAAAACUGACCCUCUUAGGCUCUGAAGACUGAGAACCAUCUGCUUUUUUAGACUAGUAGAUUUUGAAGCUAAUACAUACUUAUAAAAUAGAUUUUGGAAGAAGAAGACAAAUAUCCAGAAGAAAGUUACCAUUUCUUAU
Mustela erminea (ermine) is the source of this 1115-nucleotide long non-coding RNA. RefSeq lists it as uncharacterized. The record is from RefSeq and is a predicted model, not a curated record. Lineage: Eukaryota; Metazoa; Chordata; Mammalia; Carnivora; Mustelidae. The transcript is spliced from 3 exons.